RNAcentral lists this ribosomal RNA (497 nucleotides) under uncultured bacterium. Its description in RNAcentral is "partial 16S ribosomal RNA". It matches the Rfam family "Bacterial small subunit ribosomal RNA", at positions 28 to 507 of the family's 1533-position model. The record is from RNAcentral.
GAUGAACGCUGGCGGCGUGCCUAAUACAUGCAAGUCGAGCGAACAGACGAGGAGCUUGCUCCUUCGACGUUAGCGGCGGACGGGUGAGUAACACGUAGGUAACCUACCUAUAAGACUGGGAUAACUUCGGGAAACCGGAGCUAAUACCGGAUAAUAUUUCGAACCGCAUGGUUCGAUAGUGAAAGAUGGCUUUGCUAUCACUUAUAGAUGGACCUGCGCCGUAUUAGCUAGUUGGUAAGGUAACGGCUUACCAAGGCAACGAUUCGUAACCGACCUGAGAGGGUGAUCGGCCACACUGGAACUGAGACACGGUCCAGACUCCUACGGGAGGCAGCAGUAGGGAAUCUGCCGCAAUGGGCGAAAGCCUGACGGAGCAACGCCGCGUGAGUGAUGAAGGUCUUCGGAUCGUAAAACUCUGUUAUUAGGGAAGAACAAACGUGUAAGUAACUGUGCACGGCUUGACGGUACCUAAUCAGAAAGCAACGGCUAACUACGUG